GAUGAACGCUGGCGGCGUGCCUAAUACAUGCAAGUCGAGCGAACGGACGAGAAGCUUGCUUCUCUGAUGUUAGCGGCGGACGGGUGAGUAACACGUGGAUAACCUACCUAUAAGACUGGGAUAACUUCGGGAAACCGGAGCUAAUACCGGAUGAUAUUUUGAACCGCAUGGUUCAAAAGUGAAAGACGGUCUUGCUGUCACUUAUAGAUGGAUCCGCGCUGCAUUAGCUAGUUGGUAAGGUAACGGCUUACCAAGGCAACGAUGCAUAGCCGACCUGAGAGGGUGAUCGGCAACACUGGAACUGAGACACGGUCCAGAAUCCAAGGGGAGGCAGCAGUAGGGAAUCGUCCGCAAAGGGCGAAAGCCUGACGGAGAAACGCCGCGUGAGUGAUGAAGGUCUUCGGAUCGUAAAACUCUGUUAUUAGGGAAGAACAUAUGUGUAAGUAACUGUGCACAUCUUGACGGUACAUAAUCAGAAAGCCACGGCUAACUACGU
Molecule: ribosomal RNA, 496 nt
Filed under: uncultured bacterium
Lineage: Bacteria
Description: partial 16S ribosomal RNA
Rfam family: Bacterial small subunit ribosomal RNA
Source: RNAcentral